Molecule: ribosomal RNA, 1323 nt
Filed under: Shigella flexneri
Lineage: Bacteria; Pseudomonadati; Pseudomonadota; Gammaproteobacteria; Enterobacterales; Enterobacteriaceae
Description: partial 23S ribosomal RNA
Rfam family: Bacterial large subunit ribosomal RNA
Source: RNAcentral
CUAACGUCCGUCGUGAAGAGGGAAACAACCCAGACCGCCAGCUAAGGUCCCAAAGUCAUGGUUAAGUGGGAAACGAUGUGGGAAGGCCCAGACAGCCAGGAUGUUGGCUUAGAAGCAGCCAUCAUUUAAAGAAAGCGUAAUAGCUCACUGGUCGAGUCGGCCUGCGCGGAAGAUGUAACGGGGCUAAACCAUGCACCGAAGCUGCGGCAGCGACGCUUAUGCGUUGUUGGGUAGGGGAGCGUUCUGUAAGCCUGUGAAGGUGUGCUGUGAGGUAUGCUGGAGGUAUCAGAAGUGCGAAUGCUGACAUAAGUAACGAUAAAGCGGGUGAAAAGCCCGCUCGCCGGAAGACCAAGGGUUCCUGUCCAACGUUAAUCGGGGCAGGGUGAGUCGACCCCUAAGGCGAGGCCGAAAGGCGUAGUCGAUGGGAAACAGGUUAAUAUUCCUGUACUUGGUGUUACUGCGAAGGGGGGACGGAGAAGGCUAUGUUGGCCGGGCGACGGUUGUCCCGGUUUAAGCGUGUAGGCUGGUUUUCCAGGCAAAUCCGGAAAAUCAAGGCCGAGGCGUGAUGACGAGGCACUACGGUGCUGAAGCAACAAAUGCCCUGCUUCCAGGAAAAGCCUCUAAGCAUCAGGUAACAUCAAAUCGUACCCCAAACCGACACAGGUGGUCAGGUAGAGAAUACCAAGGCGCUUGAGAGAACUCGGGUGAAGGAACUAGGCAAAAUGGUGCCGUAACUUCGGGAGAAGGCACGCUGAUACGUAGGUGAAGCGACUUGCUCGUGGAGCUGAAAUCAGUCGAAGAUACCAGCUGGCUGCAACUGUUUAUUAAAAACACAGCACUGUGCAAACACGAAAGUGGACGUAUACGGUGUGACGCCUGCCCGGUGCCGGAAGGUUAAUUGAUGGGGUUAGCGCAAGCGAAGCUCUUGAUCGAAGCCCCGGUAAACGGCGGCCGUAACUAUAACGGUCCUAAGGUAGCGAAAUUCCUUGUCGGGUAAGUUCCGACCUGCACGAAUGGCGUAAUGAUGGCCAGGCUGUCUCCACCCGAGACUCAGUGAAAUUGAACUCGCUGUGAAGAUGCAGUGUACCCGCGGCAAGACGGAAAGACCCCGUGAACCUUUACUAUAGCUUGACACUGAACAUUGAGCCUUGAUGUGUAGGAUAGGUGGGAGGCUUUGAAGUGUGGACGCCAGUCUGCAUGGAGCCGACCUUGAAAUACCACCCUUUAAUGUUUGAUGUUCUAACGUGGACCCGUGAUCCGGGUUGCGGACAGUGUCUGGUGGGUAGUUUGACUGGGGCGGUCUCCUCCUAAAGAGUAACGGAG